AUUUUGCUGAUACCACAUAAAUUUCAUGAGUACAUGAUGGAGAGGAGAGAGAAGGAGAUGAAAAAGGAAGGGAAAGGAAGAGAAGAGGAGAUCAAGAUUGUAUGCAAGACGCUGCCCACUUCUCUACACUCUGGGCUGGGAAGGAAGAGAAAAUGAUCAGAACAUAAUGAGCCAACCCAACCACAUCUUGGUGAUGCACUGCAAAGGAAAUGAAUGAUACUUUACUUUUGAAGAGUGUGUGGGGGCUUAGCUUUUUACUCUGUCUGGGGAGAAAACUCCAGUUUAUUCUGGAAUAUGUUUCCACAACUCUGAUUUAUUUCAUCCAUCUGUCUCUGUGGAUCUCUUUCUGGCUUUGCAGACUUGGGUACCCGUUCUGAAAAACCAGGUUGGCCUUCUCAACCUAGGAAGGAAAGGAGGGUGGCAAAGGUGCCCUGCACAGGACCGCAGGGCAGAAGCAAGAAUGAGGAGAAAAGAAGACUUUAUUCCACCUGGUACCUUGGACUGAAGUUGCAGGAGCAGUGAUGGUUCCACUUCCCACAACACCUCUGCCACCAACCAAUUGAGGGUCUUCAGGAGAAGUGUUCUUAUCUGUGCAAUAGAGCCUGCCAGAAGGGGCACCUGGCAACCCUCUUCAGAGGCUUGAUCCUGUGCUGCAGAAACCUAUGGACCUGCUCAACCUGUGCACUGGAAUUCCAGGGAUAGACUGAGCUGUCCCUAGGAGGCUGGGAGCAUUCUCCAGCAGAGACCAGCAACUGCCUCCUGCCUGGAGAAUCUGGAAGGAGGAAGGGCGGCUGGAAUCACCUGUGAUGACUCCAGUGUGUCAGAGAAGACAGGAAGACCAAGAAACAGCCAAGGAGAGGGGCUGAGGAAUGAGAGAUGGAGGAGACAACAGAUUGUCCUUCCCAUUGCCAAACCUUAGGCCGGGCCUGAGGGGAUCAGACUGGGCAAUUGAAUCCUCAAAGGUUCCUGGAAGGACUACUUAGGAAUUGAAUGUGCUGAGACUUCCUCUCAAAGGAGCCCCUCCUUCUUAAAUGAAUCCAGGAGAGAAGUUCUGAAGACUGUGGUCUAUGCUAAAGGAAUGCAGAUAUUUAUAAAUGGUCAUCUGCAUUGAAUGAACCAAGUCCAAAUGACAAUCAAGGAGAACUGUAAACAUAGGAAAAGAGGGCUGAACCCAUGCUUCCAGGGAAGGAAGAAGAGAGAGAGAAAGAGAAGAGAAGAGAGAGAGAGAGAGACUGACUUCUGGAAUCAAUCAAGGGAAGUCUGGAAAUGGUGGAUGAAUGGAACAGAAAUCCCCAAGCCAAGUGUGAACAGGUGACAGGCCUCUCUAGGGCCAAGGGGCUAGACUCUGUAGCCAAGCAUUGAGCACCAAAUGUGAACAUGAUAGAGUUGUCAGUCAGAAGAAACUGCUUGCCUAUUGUCUAGUAAGCUGCACCUUGAACAACCAGCUGGAGUGGUGGUUCUGGAGUAGCUGCCUCUUCUGGUCUGGAAUGCAUAUAAACACCACGAAAAAGGCCCAGAGCUGGGCUGGCAAGGGGUCUUUCCCUGGGGAGAGCAGACCACCCACACCUUUUGGGAGACUACUUUAGGCUCAUCCAGGAGGCCUUUUGAUGUGUCUGUUAUACUGAAGAUAGUGUUUUGAGGUCCCCAAUCUUUCUUUAUGUUGUUGGCUGUCAUAUAAAAAACAAACAUCAGGAGAGAGAACAACUGUUUUAACUCAAGUAAUAGCUUAAGACUAAAAAUGAAAUAAAUUCAGGGUUAUUAACAAGAAUCUAUCAGAUCUUCUGCUAAAAGAGAAAAAAAGAGAGAGAGAGAAAGAGAAGGAGAAGGGGAAAGUGGGGGAAGGGAGAGAAGAAGAGAGGGAUGAAAAGAGAGAAUGGAGGAAGAAGCGAGGGUGAAGGAAGGAGAAAGGAAGGACUAUGAGAAAAAUCAGCACAGAUCAUCUUUGGUGUGUAUUAAAAACAAUAUAGGAAGUUUUUUAUGUCCAUAAAAACUGCCUUUUCCCAUUUGUGUUGACUAUGUUGCCCUCAAGGUCUAGUGUUAUAUUCUCUCACUUUUGAUAAACACAUGGUAGCAAGAUACAAAAACAAAAGCAAGAAAAAAACCAAUAUAGCCAUGUGGAUAAAGGAGUACUAGUAUUUAAUUUCAAUAUUAAGGGCAAUAGGGCUGGGUAGGGACUGUGGCUAAUUGGUAUACAUCAAUCCUAUCUAAAAGGGGAAGUCACCAUUCAGCACCAGGCUGCUGUUGCCUUGAGUGAAUGCAGAGCUUAUAUUGCCAGAUCUGAUUUUGUAAGAGAUACUGAAAAUUCAGUUUUAUAUGAAAUCUCCAAGUUUUAAAGUAUUGAACCAGUUCUUUGUAAAGCCCAUGUCAGGCUCCAUUUAUAUUGGGGACUUCUGGUUUGUCACCUGAGACCUAAAAGGACAACUGAAAUAUUAAAAGUGUGACAUCCAUUACUCUUUUCAAAUGCUGCACUUCCCCUCCACCCCCCAGACAUAGUAGCAGAAACAGGUUGGUGUUUUAGAUGUUGGCAUAAUCAGGACUUUUAAAUUAAGUAAAAUAAGCAAAGUGUUUUUCUUUUUUUAAACACUGUAGCCAUGUUUAAAUAUGUCCCCCAUAUUCUUUGGCACUCUUCCCAUUGCACAGUGGCAUCUAUUAUGCCCUCUCCUCUAGAAUCUGGGUGGGCUUGUGACUGCUUUGAACAAUUGAUUAUGGAGAAACCAAUACUAUGUGACUUCUAGGCUGGGUCACAAAAGGUCAUGAAGUUUCUUCCUGAUUCCCCUGGAACGUUUCUUGAAUGCUUGUGCUUGGAAUGUUCAGCCUCUCAAGAUCCUCAGGACAGUCUCAGAAUCCAGUAUCCAUGCUGAGAGAAGCCUGAGCCCUGUGGAGUAGUCAUGCUUAGGCACUCUACUGGACAGCUCCAGCUCAGCUCCCAGUCAACAGCCAGCCACUGGUCUAGAAUUGCAUCCUCCCACUUUUGAAAAAGACAUGAUACCAAGAUAAAUGUUUUUCUGACUAAAACGAAAACAAAAGCAAGAAAAAAUCACGGAAGUCCAGCCUUGUUGAACCUCCAGAAGACUCCAGCUCCAGCCACCACCUGGCUAUGAUGGCUGGAGAGAUCCCAAGUGAAAAACAUCCGGCUGAGUCCACUCUAUUCACAGAACCGAAGAGACAAUAACAUUGUUUUAAGUCUCUAAGUCUUAGGGUGGUUUGUUAAAUAGCAAUAGUAACUGGCAGAAGCAUCUACUCUAGUCGGUGUAAGCAUGAAGGGCUAGAACGAGAUCCCUCUAGUACUGCAGCCUCACUUAGUGCUCCACUCAUUGGCAUUUGUUGUGUUCUUGCCCCAAUUCUCAUGGCACUGGAGGGAGGGGCAAGGCAUUCCACAGGAAACCUAAGCAUCAGCUAGCUGGGAGGGCUGCCAAGCAGGCUAGGGGAGCCCCAGCUUGGAGCAGCCUCCACAUGAGGCAAUUAAAAUGUGAAAUGUAACCUUUAAGGAAAGAGCCUGACUUUACCUUUGCAUCUUGGAGACUUGGGAUGCAGAAGACCUGUCAAGUCCUGUCCUCUCCCCACCCCCCACUCUCUCCCCAGCCCUGAUCACGUUUCUGUCUUAUGUUUGGACACAGGACUCAGACUUGUGUACACAUGGAGAAUAGCGUCUGGCGCCAAGAACGCAGAGCGGCUGAGAACUGGUGUUUCUCCUCUUAGGAAAGAAAAUGACAGGGAAAGGAAGAAAAAUAGGAAAGAAGAAAGGAAGAGAGAGAAGAAGGAAAAAAAGAGGGAGGGAGGGAAGGAAAGGGUAGGGAAGGAAGGAAAGAGGAAAAGAAGGAGGAAGAGGAAGAGAUGGAGAGAAGAAAGAAAGGAAGGAAAAGGGAGGGAAGAAAAGGAAAAGAGGGAGGAAGGGAGAAAUGGAAGAAGGGAAAGAAGGAAAAGAAGGAGGAAGAGGAAGAGAUGGAGAGAAGAAAGGAAGGAAGGAAAAGGGAGAGAAGAAAAAGAAAAGAGGGAGGAAGGGAGAAAAGGAAGAAGGGAAAGAAGGAAAAAAGGAAGAAGAGAGGAAUGGAAGGAAGAAGGGAAGGGAAAGAGGGAGACAGGUAAAGAGGGAGGGAGGGAAAUAAGGAAGAGGGAGAAAGAGGGAGAAAGGGGGGAGGAGCAAAGGACGGAAGAAGGAAGGAAAGAAGAAGGGAGGGAAGGGAAAAUAGAGGAAAUGAAGGACGGCACAGGGAAGGGGAAAAAGGACGAAGAGGAGGAAAAGAGGGAGGGAAGAAGGAAGAAGAAAAGGAAAGAGAAAAGAAGGAGGGAGGGAGGGAAGGAAGACAGGAAGGAAAACCAAACGUCGAGGUAGCACUGUGUGUUUGGAUUUCUUGCUUUACUGAAGUAUUACCUUCAUCAGAAGCAGAUGGACUGAAUCACGUCAAAGUCUACCUAGGCAGGAAGCAUUGUUUUAAUUUACCCAGGUCACGGCAAACAUAUUGUCAUUCAGCAUGUGAAACUGUUUGAACUUACAAGGAGUAACCCAGCAACAGCAAUUACCCCACGUGUCCGUUGUGCUCUGAUGAUACAAACGCAACUGGAAUGGAGUCUCAUAAUUUCACAAGGUGACAAAACAUUGAAUUCUGAUGUUUCACCUCCACCUGCGAAUGAGCAGGGAGGUGCUGAGAGGCCAGCUGAAUACACAAAUUCCUUGGGCCCAUGGGCACUGUACAGAGGCCGGCUGCACUGGGGCAAGCUUGCCCUCCUCUCAACCUCAGGCCGGCAGCCAAUGCAGAGCAGCCCCACCGCGGGCUUUUGUCUGCUGAGAGCACACCCCCUGCAUUUCUUAUCAGAUUUACUGUGACAAGGACCCGGAGAAAAGCAAGAUGCUGGUAAGAGCUCAUCAAUUCAGACCCCACUAUUCAGAAAUUUGGAUUUAUUUUUUUGUCACGGAGAACUAGAACUGAUGUGAAUCUUGGCACUAUCCUUGAAAAAAAAUCAUUCAUAAUAACACAACAAUAAUAUAUAACAUUUACUGAGUUCUGACUCUGAACGAGGUACUGUCUGGAGUGCUCUUCGUGGAUGUCUCAUUUAAUCUUCAAAGCAACACUGUGAGGAAGGUCCUAUUAUUCUCUCCAUUUUGCAGGCGAUUACUUUGAGGCACAGAGAGGUCAAGGCCUGCCCAAGGUCACACAGCUAAUGAAUGGGAGAGCCUGGAUUCAGAACCCCAGCAGUCUGAUUGAUGCCAGAGCCAUAUUCUCAAUCACACUUUAAAAGGCAACUCCCAGCUAGGUCAAGAAUUCAGAUUGUUUCUAUGGACCUGAAAAUCAUUUUAACAGUACCCAUUUCUGUUGUUAAAAAAAAAAAAAAAAAGACAAGACAGUGACCCAAUCGAUGAUUCUUAUCCAUUCAUUAAGUCAAAGUUGCUCCUUGACCAUCCUGUUAGCCCUUAUUUCAUGCAUGUGAAAUGAAUAAAACUUCAUUUUGUUCAAAAAGACCCUUGGAUUCAGACUUUCUAUGCUUUUAGGUGGGCUUUCUUAUUAUUAUUCAAAGUCACUGAGGUUUUUCUCAAAGACUUCGGAGACUAAACUAAUCACAGCUGCCUUUGAG
Molecule: long non-coding RNA, 5571 nt
Filed under: Homo sapiens (human)
Lineage: Eukaryota; Metazoa; Chordata; Mammalia; Primates; Hominidae
Description: HSALNT0281598
Source: RNAcentral